UAAUACAGAGGGUGCAAGCGUUAAUCGGAAUUACUGGGCGUAAAGCGCGCGUAGGCCGUUGGGUAAGUCGGAUGUGAAAUCCCCGGGCUUAACCUGGGAAUUGCAUUCGAUACUGCCUGACUAGAGUGUGGAAGAGGGAAGCGGAAUUUCCGGUGUAGCGGUGAAAUGCGUAGAUAUCGGAAGGAACACCAGUGGCGAAGGCGGCUUCCUGGUCCAACACUGACGCUGAGGCGCGAAAGCGUGGGGAGCGAACAGG
RNAcentral lists this ribosomal RNA (256 nucleotides) under uncultured bacterium. Its description in RNAcentral is "partial 16S ribosomal RNA". It matches the Rfam family "Bacterial small subunit ribosomal RNA", at positions 521 to 776 of the family's 1533-position model. The record is from RNAcentral.